Molecule: small RNA, 107 nt
Filed under: Marmota monax (woodchuck)
Lineage: Eukaryota; Metazoa; Chordata; Mammalia; Rodentia; Sciuridae
Source: RNAcentral
GCCAGGCAUAGUGGUGCAUGCCUGUAAUCCCAGUGACUCCAGAGGCUGAGACAGAAGGAUCUCAAGUUCAAGACCAGCCUUAGCAAAUUAGCAAGAUCCUGUCUCAA